Molecule: ribosomal RNA, 524 nt
Filed under: uncultured bacterium
Lineage: Bacteria
Description: partial 16S ribosomal RNA
Rfam family: Bacterial small subunit ribosomal RNA
Source: RNAcentral
GACGAACGCUGGCGGCGUGCCUAAUACAUGCAAGUCGAACGAAGCUGUUUUAACUGGUGCUUGCACCGACUUAAACAACUGAGUGGCGAACGGGUGAGUAACACGUGGGUAACCUGCCCCAAAGCGGGGGAUAACAUUUGGAAACAGAUGCUAAUACCGCAUAAUCACAGAAACCACAUGGUUUCUGUGUCAAAGAUGGUUUCGGCUAUCACUUGUGGAUGGAUCCGCGGCGGCUUUGCUAGUUGGUAAUGUAAUGGCUUACCAAGGCAAUGAUACGUAGCCGAACUGAGAGAUUGAUCGGCCACAUUGGGAAUGAGACACGGCCCAAACUCCUACGGGAGGCAGCAGUAGGGAAUCUUCCACAAUGGACGAAAGUCUGAUGGAGCAACGCCGCGGGAGUGAAGAAGGUCUUCGGAUCGUAAAACUCUGUUGUCAGAGAAGAACGUGUGCGAGAGUAACUGUUCGUGCAGUGACGGUAUCUGGCCAGAAAGCCACGGCUAACUACGUGCCAGCCGCCGCAGUAA